RNAcentral lists this ribosomal RNA (450 nucleotides) under uncultured bacterium. Its description in RNAcentral is "partial 16S ribosomal RNA". It matches the Rfam family "Bacterial small subunit ribosomal RNA", at positions 354 to 796 of the family's 1533-position model. The record is from RNAcentral.
GUGGGGAAUCUUCCGCAAUGGACGAAAGUCUGACGGAGCGACGCCGCGUGAGUGAAGAAGGCCUUCGGGUCGUAAAGCUCUGUCAUCAGGGACGAACGGCCGGUGGAGUGGAAAGCCACCGGAUUGACGGUACCUGAGAAGGAAGCCACGGCUAACUACGUGCCAGCAGCCGCGGUAAUACGUAGGUGGCAAGCGUUGUCCGGAAUUAUUGGGCGUAAAGCGCGCGCAGGUGGGAUCUUAAGUCCAUUUUGAAAGUUCGGAGCUCAACUCCGUGAUGGGAUGGAAACUGGGAUUCUUGAGUACCGGAGAGGAAAGCGGAAUUCCCCGUGUAGCGGUGAAAUGCGUAGAUAUGGGGAGGAACACCAGUGGCGAAGGCGGCUUUCUGGACUGUAACUGACACUGAGGCACGAAAGCGUGGGGAGCAAACAGGAUUAGAUACCCGGGUAGUCC